GGCGCGUUAACAAAGCGGUUAUAUGGCGGAUUGCAAAUCCGCGUCUGGUCAGUUCGACUCCGGAACGCGCCU
This 72-nucleotide transfer RNA is filed under the name Salmonella enterica subsp. enterica. RNAcentral's name for it is "tRNA-Cys". It matches the Rfam family "tRNA". From Rfam's summary of the family: Transfer RNA (tRNA) molecules are approximately 80 nucleotides in length. Their secondary structure includes four short double-helical elements and three loops (D, anti-codon, and T loops). Lineage: Bacteria; Pseudomonadati; Pseudomonadota; Gammaproteobacteria; Enterobacterales; Enterobacteriaceae. The record is from RNAcentral.